GCGGGCCUUGGUCUGGUGGUUCAGCGCAUGGCCCUUGGCAUGGGUCCGGGACAGUCCGGGUCUGGCGUCGUUCAAUUCGUCAACCCCGCC
This 90-nucleotide transfer RNA is filed under the name Jannaschia sp. AI_61. RNAcentral describes it as "tRNA-Ala". The record is from RNAcentral. RNAcentral also lists the same sequence under 1 other name. Lineage: Bacteria; Pseudomonadati; Pseudomonadota; Alphaproteobacteria; Rhodobacterales; Roseobacteraceae.